GCGCCGUUAGCUCAGCUGGUAGAGCGGCCGACUUUUAAUCGGCUUGUCGCAGGUUCGAGCCCUGCACGGCGCAC
RNAcentral lists this transfer RNA (74 nucleotides) under Winogradskya consettensis. Its description in RNAcentral is "Actinoplanes consettensis tRNA-Lys". It matches the Rfam family "tRNA". Rfam says of the family: Transfer RNA (tRNA) molecules are approximately 80 nucleotides in length. The record is from RNAcentral. Lineage: Bacteria; Bacillati; Actinomycetota; Actinomycetes; Micromonosporales; Micromonosporaceae.